GCUGAUGCUGGCAGUGAUGCCGAUGGUGCGGGCUGGAAAUGGGGUGCUACGUCAUCGUUGUCAUCGUCAUCAUCAUCAUC
This is a non-coding RNA of Equus caballus (horse), 80 nucleotides long. The record is from Rfam. Lineage: Eukaryota; Metazoa; Chordata; Mammalia; Perissodactyla; Equidae.